GCAUAAUACCUUGUCUGGGCACAUGGUGAUUUGACUUGGCGCACAACAUUAACCAUCCCAGCAUGACUAGAUCCCACACUACUAUCUGUAUUGAGUCCACUUACCACGGACUCAUUUGAGGAAACUUCUGGCAUUGUGUUAACACUUCCAACUCCAGGGUCAGACACAUUGUCCAUCUCCAUCCCUGAUUCAGAUCCACCAUGCAAC
Bufo bufo (common toad) is the source of this 207-nucleotide long non-coding RNA. RefSeq lists it as uncharacterized. Lineage: Eukaryota; Metazoa; Chordata; Amphibia; Anura; Bufonidae. The record is from RefSeq and is a predicted model, not a curated record. The transcript has 3 exons.